AAGUUAUUUCUGAAACUUUUUAAACCAAUCCAAACAGGCUCUUACUCCUUGACUUGAUGUCGGUUUUAGCUGGAAAGAGAAAGAGAUGCUACGCUACGGAUUGAGUUUGAACCAAUGUAUGGAGCUCAUAAAAUGAGUUAGCCCCCGACCCCAUAGGCAAAUCCAGAAUUGUAAGUAAAUGGGUUCCUAUUGUAGUAUCAAAUUAAUUUACGCUAAUAACUGGAUUCACAUUUAUAUAUUUAUUGAUAUUUAAUGAUUUUUUUUUAAUAAAAAUACAAGAUCUAUGCAAAAGUUACUUGCUUCCCAGUAACCAGUAACUAUGCUCUAUAUUCGCCAUCACAAAUAACAACAUUUUCCUAUACAUAGGGGUCCAAAGGAAAUAGCCAAAUUGUAUAUAUACCUCUAGGCUGGAGAUUGUUGUAACCCUGCCAAAAUGAAGAAAAACACACAUAAAAUUAAAAGGGUUUUCUAAACAAAAUCUACAUUGUUUUUUUUUUCUUCUAAUGACUAAUUAGUAGUGAUAUAAACAUAAAACAUGUAUAUAUAUAUAUAUAUAUAUAUAUAUAUAUAUGUAUAUAUAUAUAUAUGUAUGUAUAUAUAUAUAUAUGUAUGUAUUUACCUCAACCAUAUUGGUGAAAGUGAGCAAUAUCAAGAACAUUGACAGAAGCAACAAGAAGCUAACAUUGUAUCCACUUUUUGCCAUAUUCUUCUUCUCUUCAAAGGGAACUAAACUGAGUAUUUUGCUUUAGUAAUGAAGAUAACAAAAAAGAUAUAAUAAGAAGAGAAUAAUGAAAAUAUUGGAAGUAGAAGAAGUGAAGUGAGAAUAUUUAUAGAGGGUUUUAAUUUCCAGGGGC
This 854-nucleotide long non-coding RNA is filed under the name Nicotiana tabacum (common tobacco). RNAcentral describes it as "long non-coding RNA (NTAB_LNC017841)". Lineage: Eukaryota; Viridiplantae; Streptophyta; Magnoliopsida; Solanales; Solanaceae. The record is from RNAcentral.